Haliotis rubra (blacklip abalone) is the source of this 231-nucleotide long non-coding RNA. RefSeq lists it as uncharacterized. The record is from RefSeq and is a predicted model, not a curated record. The transcript has 3 exons. NCBI's taxonomy places the organism in Eukaryota, Metazoa, Mollusca, Gastropoda, Lepetellida, Haliotidae.
AGGUUGAAAUGAUGAAGAUUGUGUACCUCCUGCUGCUGUUGUUGGGCGUAGUGAUGGCGUCGUAUGAUGAGGACGAAGGGGCCACCAUGCUGGCUAAGAUCUACCAGCGACAGGACCAGAUGCUGCAGCAAGUGGAAGCCCUAUCCAAAACAGUGUCAAAGGCUGCUGAUGCCACGCGUGGAGGUAAGAGGAGCGGAGGUCAUAAGAGGUCGUCGUUCUCAAGACACAGAG